CGUAGAUAUAUGGAGGAACACCGGUGGCGAAAGCGGCUCUUUGGUCUGUAACUGACGCUGAGGCUCGAAAGCGUGGGGAGCGAACAGGAUUAGAUACCCUGGUAGUCCACGCCGUAAACGAUGAGUGCUAGGUGUUAGGUCCUUUCCGGGACUUAGUGCCGCAGCUAACGCAUUAAGCACUCCGCCUGGGGAGUACGACCGCAAGGUUGAAACUCAAAGGAAUUGACGGGGGCCCGCACAAGCGGUGGAGCAUGUGGUUUAAUUCGAAGCAACGCGAAGAACCUUACCAGGUCUUGACAUCCCGAUGCUACUUCUAGAGAUAGGAAGUUUCUUCGGAACAUCGGUGACAGGUGGUGCAUGGUUGUCGUCAGCUCGUGUCGUGAGAUGUUGGGUUAAGUCCCGCAACGAGCGCAACCCUUAUUGUUAGUUGCCAUCAUUGAGUUGGGCACUCUAGCGAGACUGCCGGUAAUAAACCGGAGGAAGGUGGGGAUGACGUCAAAUCAUCAUGCCCCUUAUGGCCUGGGCUACACACGUGCUACAAUGGCUGGUACAACGAGUCGCAAGCCGGUGACGGCAAGCUAAUCUCUGAAAGCCAGUCUCAGUUCGGAUUGUAGGCUGCAACUCGCCUACAUGAAGUCGGAAUCGCUAGUAAUCGCGGAUCAGCACGCCGCGGUGAAUACGUUCCCGGGCCUUGUACACACCGCCCGUCACACCACGAGAGUUUGUAACACCCGAAGUCGGUGAGGUAACCGUAAGGAGCCAGCCGCCUAAGGUGG
This 776-nucleotide ribosomal RNA is filed under the name uncultured organism. RNAcentral's name for it is "SSU rRNA". It matches the Rfam family "Bacterial small subunit ribosomal RNA", at positions 689 to 1465 of the family's 1533-position model. The record is from RNAcentral.